RNAcentral lists this ribosomal RNA (253 nucleotides) under uncultured bacterium. RNAcentral's name for it is "partial 16S ribosomal RNA". It matches the Rfam family "Bacterial small subunit ribosomal RNA", at positions 524 to 776 of the family's 1533-position model. The record is from RNAcentral.
UACGAAGGUCCCGAGCGUUGUUCGGUAUCACUGGGCUUAAAGAGUUCGUAGGCGGCUUUGUAGGUGGGGUGUGAAAGCCCUCGGCUUAACCGAGGAACUGCGCCCCAAACCACAAGGCUUGAGGGAUAUAGGGGUAAGCGGAACAGAUGGUGGAGCGGUGAAAUGCAUUGAUAUCAUCUGGAACACCGGUGGCGAAGGCGGCUUACUGGAUAUUUUCUGACGCUGAGGAACGAAAGCUAGGGUAGCGAACGGG